AUGACUGUGCUUUUCUCUCUUCUUCUGUUUUUGGUGACUAAAAGGGACUCUUCUGCACAGUCAACAUCAAACAUGAUACAACCAUCAUCCUCUGAGAAACAUGUUCUUGAGGGAGAAAGUGUGACUCUCUCUUGUAACUACACUGGAACUGUAACUGUGAACUCACUCCAGUGGUAUCGACAGUAUCUCAGAUCAGCUCCAGAGUUUCUGCUUCUUGUCACUGAAUAUAAAGGCAAAUCUGAGCCUGCUCUUCGUCUGUCAUCAAACGCUACUAAAGAAGAAAAACGAGUGGAACUGGAGAUUUCUUCUGUUGCUGUUACAGACUCUGCUGUGUACUACUGCGCCCUGCAGCCCACAGUGACAGGAAACCCAACUACACUGUACAAAAACUAA
Xyrauchen texanus (razorback sucker) is the source of this 393-nucleotide non-coding RNA. The record is from the annotation of a RefSeq genome assembly. NCBI's taxonomy places the organism in Eukaryota, Metazoa, Chordata, Actinopteri, Cypriniformes, Catostomidae.